This 107-nucleotide small nuclear RNA is filed under the name Tupaia belangeri chinensis (Chinese tree shrew). Lineage: Eukaryota; Metazoa; Chordata; Mammalia; Scandentia; Tupaiidae. The record is from RNAcentral.
GUGCUUGCUUCGGCAGCACAUAUACUAAAAUUGGAACGAUACAGAGAACAUUAACAUGGCCCUGGUGCAAGGAUGACAUGCAAAUUCGUGAAGUGUUCCUUAUUUUU